ACUCUGGAGCCUGGACUCUGGAGUUUGUAACCUGAACUCUGAAGGCCCUUUCCUUGCCUUGCUUCUGGAACCUUCCACACAAUUCCAGUAGUCCCAAGCUUCCAGAAAUUUCUGUAUCCUCUUCUAUCACGCUUUCCCUUCCCCUUAUCUUCUUCCUCCUCAGUAAUCAUCAUACUUCAAAACUAUACAAAUCUCUCGUCUCUCACCGUAACAUCUCAAAGUUGGUGCAGAUUAUUAAUUGUUGCUCCACAGCGCAACCAGGCGAAGGAAGGCAAAAAAGAAGAGCAGAGCUUUCUCCGAUAACAGCCAUAGUGGAUGGGAGUCGAUUAUUACAAGAUCUUACAGGUAGAUAGGAACGCCAAAGAUGAAGAUCUUAAGAAAUCUUACAGAAAGCUUGCCAUGAAAUGGCACCCUGACAAGAACCCCAAUAAAAAGAAGGAAGCUGAAGCCAAAUUCAAACAGAUCUCUGAAGCCUACGAGGUUCUUAGUGAUCCUCAGAAGAGAGCAAUCUAUGACCAAUACGGUGAAGAGGGCCUCAAAGGCCAAGUGCCUCCGCCAGGCUCCGGUGGUCCGGGCGGGGCUACGUUCUUCCAGACGGGAGAUGGGCCAAACGUGUUCAGGUUUAAUCCGAGAAACGCAGAUGACAUAUUCGCUGAGUUCUUUGGAUUCUCGAGCCCUUUCGGAGGAAUGGGAGGUGGUGGUGGCGGUAGUGGUGGGGGCAUGAAUGGCGGGUCCAGGUUCCCUGGCGGUAUGUUUAGCAAAAAUUUCUUCCCUUCGUUUGGGGAGGGAGGUUCCAUGAAUCAGGGUCCUCGUAAAGCUGCUCCCAUAGAGAAGAGUUUGCCCUGUACCCUUGAGGAGCUCUAUAAGGGGACUACCAAGAAGAUGAAGAUAUCCAGAGAGAUUUCUGAUGUGAGUGGGAAAACAAUGCCAGUAGAAGAGAUUAUAACUAUUGACAUAAAGCCUGGCUGGAAGAAAGGAACAAAGAUCACAUUCCCAGAGAAAGGGAAUGAACAACCAAAUGUUAUACCUGCAGAUCUCGUCUUCAUAGUUGAUGAAAAACCGCAUGAGAUCUUCACUAGGGAUGGAAAUGAUCUGAUACUCACCCAGAAGAUAACACUCAUGGAAGCUCUCACAGGUUACACAGUGCAUCUAACUACACUUGAUGGCAGGAAUCUUACUAUUCCCAUCAAUAAUGUUAUCCAUUCAAAUUAUGAAGAGGUUGUUCCAAGGGAGGGGAUGCCAAUACCAAAAGAGCUCCCAAAGAAGGGGGAUUUAAGAAUCAAGUUCGACAUAAAGUUCCCAAAGAGGUUGACAGCCGAUCAGAAGGCUGGAAUCAAGAGAUUGUUGGCUCCAUAAGCUUCCUGAUUUACACCAGACCAACACAUAUUGCAUGGACACUUAAAUGUGAAAUCUUUGGAGUCUCAUGAUAUGAUAUGUUUGUCUGCCAAAAUUUGGAAGUCUGAAGAUGAAUGAAGAAGAGUCAUAUUGACUAUAACUGCAAAACUCAAACUAUUCUAGACUUUACCUGAUGGGCGCUUGUGCCAUAUGCCAAAGCUUCCCAAGCUAGGUAUGUUUCCUUUGGAAUACUCGGUUCUUGUUUGCUCAAGCCGUGGGAGUAUUUUAUCUUGAUUGGAGAUUUGUAUUUUUAGUAUAUAGAUAAUUACAUUUGUGUAUUUGAAACUCAAAAAUAAAGAUAUUUAUUACAAUUUGAGUUUAACACAAUAA
Macadamia integrifolia is the source of this 1725-nucleotide RNA transcript. It is a transcript of the gene named dnaJ homolog subfamily B member 13-like, with no coding region annotated. Lineage: Eukaryota; Viridiplantae; Streptophyta; Magnoliopsida; Proteales; Proteaceae. The transcript is spliced from 4 exons. The record is from RefSeq and is a predicted model, not a curated record.